Molecule: transfer RNA, 64 nt
Filed under: Megalothorax incertus
Lineage: Eukaryota; Metazoa; Arthropoda; Collembola; Neelipleona; Neelidae
Description: tRNA-Asp
Source: RNAcentral
AAAGCUUUAAUUAAAUAAUAAUAAUAUUUCUCUGUCAGAGAGAACUUGCCCCCAGCAAGCUUUA